This 719-nucleotide unclassified non-coding RNA is filed under the name Hevea brasiliensis (rubber tree). The record is from RNAcentral. Lineage: Eukaryota; Viridiplantae; Streptophyta; Magnoliopsida; Malpighiales; Euphorbiaceae.
AAAUGAGCCUUGUAGCAAUCAAUGAUACCUUCAACUUUUUGUUUAAUUUUAUAAACCCACUUACAUCCUAUGGUGUUCUGAGCAUGAGUGUGGAGCACUAGUUCCCAUGUACCAAUGUUUAAAAGGGCAGAUAUUUCUUCAUUCAUGGCCUUAAACCGUUGAGGGUCAUAUUGUGCCUUAGUGUAGCAAGUGGAUACUUAGGGUAACUCUUUUGUAAUGGCAAAGAGCUUUGGUUUUAGAGAUCCAGUUUGAGACCAUGUAAUCAUGGGGUAAGUUUUUGCAGAUGGUGGAGGAGGUGAAGGGACGUCCGGUGGUUGUGAACUUAGAUCCAUGACAAGAGGAAGAGCAGUGGAAGUUUAGACGGCAAGGGGCUAUACGUUAGUAUACGAGUUGGGGUAACAGUUUGAGUUGAUGGGAGUUGGAGCAAAGGACGUGGUGGAGAAAAAGGAGGAUUGGGUCGUUGUUGUAUUGGUGUAGGAUUAGAUGGUGUUUAUUGCAAUAGAAUUUGGAUGAUGAACGGGUUGGUUAGAUCAAGGAGUCAUGGAUGUUAGAGAAGGAGGAGGACCAAGAAUGCUAGGCGACGGGUUUGGUGGAGGGUUGGGCAUAAGUGGCAUAAGAGAGAGAGGUAAAGAAAUAAGACCGAUGCUUUCUUGGACUAAACUAGGGUGAGUAUUAUGCUGUGCAAAAAAUGAAAAUACCUUCCGAUGACAGGCCUCACG